CUCCAGUCCUCCUUUCCGGCCAUCUCGUUGAUAUGGCAUCCGCCGCGGCCGCCCGUUCGACCGCUGCCGUAGCUGCUCGGGCAGCCGCCGCCCGUCACGUUGCUUCGGGCACUGGCCGCUCCAGUCCUCUCUUUCCUCGACGUGGGUUCGCGGCCGUCACCACCACCACCACCCUCCCAGCCGCCUGGACUCGCCCGCUGCCGUCCCACGCCGCCGCCGCCCCCAUGCCGUCGGCCACCCGCCUUGUCCGGCGCGGCCUCGCGAAGAUCUCCGACAACUACUUUAUCACGGAUCCCUGAACUACGUGCCCCUUUGCUGGGUUGACCCCGAUGCUCCAGUCGACCCGGCCACCCACUUCAGCCACGGCGAGGAGGACCUCGCGUCGGAGGAAGCCAUGUGGGCGCUGUACGAGCGGUGGUGCGCCUUCUACGGCGUCAAGCGCAGCCGCGACGACAUGCUCCGGCGGUUCGGGGCCUUCAAGGAAAUGGCGCGCCGCAUCCACGAGUUCAACAAGUCCGGUGCGUCCUACACCAUGAAGCUCGGCGAAAGAGCCGAUCUCACGGCAGAGGAGCGAGACAGGUUCUACCGGUCGAACUCUUUCUGAAGCUGGAGAAAAUUCAUCUUAUCCUCACUAAUCAGCCAUUGCCAUCGAUCCAAUGACUGAUGCUAGAAUAAUAAUCUUAUGCGGUUAUGUAUCAUCUCCAUUGACUUAGCGUGUGUUUAGUUCGCUUGCCAAACGCCCUGCACGAUGAUGAACUAUGUGCAUGCUUUAGAUGACUUAGCAAAAUGUCAAAGAUGCGCUUAUUCAUUUGGAAAAAAAAAAUAAUGACACACUACAAAAUUUCCACAUCUAUGAUUUUUAGCAGUUUCUAUUGAAA
Long non-coding RNA from Setaria italica (foxtail millet), 878 nucleotides. RefSeq lists it as uncharacterized. The record is from RefSeq and is a predicted model, not a curated record. The transcript has 2 exons. NCBI's taxonomy places the organism in Eukaryota, Viridiplantae, Streptophyta, Magnoliopsida, Poales, Poaceae.